RNAcentral lists this transfer RNA (73 nucleotides) under Planctomycetaceae bacterium. Its description in RNAcentral is "tRNA-Gly". It matches the Rfam family "tRNA". From Rfam's summary of the family: Transfer RNA (tRNA) molecules are approximately 80 nucleotides in length. Their secondary structure includes four short double-helical elements and three loops (D, anti-codon, and T loops). Further hydrogen bonds mediate the characteristic L-shaped molecular structure. tRNAs have two regions of fundamental functional importance: the anti-codon, which is responsible for specific mRNA codon recognition, and the 3' end, to which the tRNAs corresponding amino acid is attached (by aminoacyl-tRNA synthetases). tRNAs cope with the degeneracy of the genetic code in two manners: having more than one tRNA (with a specific anti-codon) for a particular amino acid; and 'wobble' base-pairing, i.e. permitting non-standard base-pairing at the 3rd anti-codon position. The record is from RNAcentral. Lineage: Bacteria; Pseudomonadati; Planctomycetota; Planctomycetia; Planctomycetales; Planctomycetaceae.
GCGCCACUAGCUCAAUUGGUAGAGCACCGGCCUUCCAAGUCGGAUGUCAAGGGUUCAAUUCCCUUGUGGCGCU